GGUCAGAGCAGUUUCCAUGGGGGCAUGAAGAGAGCAACCCAUUGGAGGACAUGUAUGAAGGUGAGGAACUGGAGGAGAUCCGCAGAGACAGUUCCCUGAGAGGUGACCGUUUAAGAUCGGUGGGGAGACGGCACUUCAUAGAAGAUACAUAAGCAGAGAAAGAAAGGAGGUUUUCUGUUUUGUUUUAAUAAUCCAUGAUACUACGUGGUGUUAACUUGCACAUGGUAAUGGUGGAGGGGAGGGGAAAGAGAGAUUGAUUCAUUAUAUAAAAGGGAAAAGAAAGUUUUUAGGAAAAUUCUUCAGAAAGCAAAAAAAGGAUGGUUUAGGAUUCUAUCUUGUCUAUUUUUCUGUUGCUAAUAACACAGUACUGCAGACUGGGUAAGUUACAAAGAAUGAGCUUUAUUUUGGCUCAUGGUUCUGUCCAAGGAUGCAGGGAUAUGUCUGGUGAUGGUCUUCUUGUUUUCAGAGUUUUGAAGUAGUGCAGGAUGUCAUAUAACAAGAGAUAGGAAGAGAGGGGCCUAGCCAAACUGGCUUCUAAGGCUGGUCUUUUCUUGCAAUAACUCAUUAAUCCAUUUAUGGCUUGAGUGGGUCAAAUCUAUUCAUAAGGACAGAAUUCUAAUCACUUCUUUUAUUUUAUUUUUUAAAUUUUUUAUUCUAAUUUGUUUUAUAUGACAGCAGAAUGCAUUGCAAUUCAUAUUACACUAUAUAGAGCACAAUUUUUCGUAUCUCUGGUUGUAAACUUCUUAACAGUCCUAACUCAUCCUGCUUCUUAACAUCUCACUAAAGGGCUUCAAUUUCAAUAUGAGUCUUCAGAGGAAAAACCAGAUUAAAAUCAUAGCAGAUUCAGGACCCAUUUGGAACAUUUGAUCUUUGGUAAAAUUAGGGCCAUUGCGUCCAUAGAAAAAAGAGGUAGAUAAAAGUGGGGGUAUGCAUUGGGCUUAUAAUUUCUGUGUUGGGAAAACCAAGAAUAUUCCUAAACACAUAUUUCCAUUUUUCUCAAUGAGUGAGGCAGAUUUGCCAGUCGAGUGUGUACAUGUGUAUUGGGAGUGAUUCAUUUUUGAAUAUCCAGAAGACAGGAAAACAUCUGGAGUCAUUUCUGAGAUAUCACAUAACAUUGGUAUAGGAAAAUGCAGGUGAAGGUGUAUCAGCCCAUCUAAGAGUGGAUCAGGGAAACUGUGAGUUUCCUUGUGGCUACUCCACUGAUGAAUGACAAACAUGGGGAGGAGUAGAUGGGAGGAUGACCAAAGCUGGUAUUGCCAGGAGAAGGCAAUAAGAAGGAGAGUGGCAGGGAGUGAAGGCCAAUAAUAUAUUAACUAGGAUUACAGAGCUCUAAAUCACAAAGACCAAUACUAGAGUGGCUUGAACAGAUUGAAAGUUUCUUUUGCAGGAGGUAGGUGACCUGGACACAGUAGGGUAGCUCACUUAGUUCAAUGUGGUCCUGAGACACUCUGACUUUGCCAUCCUUGGGUUGCAGCAUUACCUGCCUGGUCUGAAGAGGCAACUAGGGUACCAGUCCUUAUAGUCAUGUUCCAAACAGCAGGAUGAGAAAAAAUAACAAAGAAAGUGGAAAGCACACAUUAAGAAACACUCCUGGAAGCUGCCACAUGACAAUUCCCUUCACAUUUCAUGCAUUCAACUUCAUUAUAGAAGUCAUCUGAGCAGUCAUUUGUCGAGAUGAAACAAGGAGGCCAUAUUUCUGAGGAAUGUUAGGGGACAGAACGCAAAAGGGAAAUUAUCCAUCCAUCUCCCUAGGAGGAUGACAGUUGAUGAGGAUGAUGUGUGAGGCCAAUAGGUUGAAGCAUCUAUGACUUCAGAUAUUUUCUGUGCAAGAGUCUAGAAGGAGCAGACUAUUGUGGGCAGCCUGGGGCCUAUGGCGUUGACAUUCUGGUAGCAGUGUGUGAGUCAAAGAAGGGAAGUUAUUAGAAGGAAAGAGGCCCGCAGACUUUGAUGGAGCUUGCUGUGAGCCCAGGUAAAUGAGUGUUGGAGGAACCCUUUCCUCAAAGCUCCUACUAGUUUCUACAAUGGAAAGAAUUUUGGAUUCAUCUCUGUUGACAUCUAACUGAAAACUAAGAAGAAACUUUAAUUGUGUAUUCAAUCAUUUGCUCAUCAGACAUUUAUUGACUCCUAAACAUUGUGUUAAUCCCUAGAAAUCAGUUAAUAUGAGGCUCUUCACCUCUGCUUCUUAAGAGAGAUCACUA
Molecule: long non-coding RNA, 2198 nt
Filed under: Marmota monax (woodchuck)
Lineage: Eukaryota; Metazoa; Chordata; Mammalia; Rodentia; Sciuridae
Source: RNAcentral